Molecule: unclassified non-coding RNA, 262 nt
Filed under: Hevea brasiliensis (rubber tree)
Lineage: Eukaryota; Viridiplantae; Streptophyta; Magnoliopsida; Malpighiales; Euphorbiaceae
Source: RNAcentral
GUAAGUAAUGAAGCCACUGUAAUUCACAUGUAGUGGAUGCAAGAGCACGAUACUUUGCUUAUGAGAAGCUUCUAGAUACAGUGCUUUGCUUCUUUGCUUUCCAACAAAUUAAGGAUUGACCAACAAAAAUACAAAAUCCAGUAAUGGAUUUUCUAGCAUCAACACAGCUUGCCCAGUCAGAAUCACUAAAUGCUUUAAGUUGUAAUUCUGACUUGGCUGAGAAAAAUAUACCAGCACCUAGAGCAGCGCUGAUGUAUCUCAG